AACGAACGCUGGCGGCGUGGAUAAGACAUGCAAGUCGAACGGGAUUACUUUUGUAGCAAUACAGAAGUAAUUCAGUGGCGAACGGGUGCGUAACACGUGGGCAAUCUGCCGAAAAGUGGGGGAUAGCUCGCCGAAAGGCGAAUUAAUACCGCAUGUGGUGAGGGACGACAUCUUCCUGAAUCCAAAGCCAGGGCAACCUGGCGCUUUUUGAGGAGCCCGCGGCCUAUCAGCAGUUGGUGAGGUAACGGCUCACCAAGGCUUUGACGGGUAGCUGGUCUGAGAGGACGACCAGUCACACUGGAACUGAGACACGGCCCAGACUCCUACGGGAGGCAGCAGUGGGGAAUCUUGCGCAAUGCACGAAAGUGUGACGCAGCAACGCCGCGUGCGGGAAGACGGCCU
This 402-nucleotide ribosomal RNA is filed under the name uncultured bacterium. RNAcentral's name for it is "bacterial SSU rRNA". It matches the Rfam family "Bacterial small subunit ribosomal RNA", at positions 29 to 417 of the family's 1533-position model. The record is from RNAcentral.